CUCGCUUGCAAGCCGGUCCCUCACGCCUCCUCCUGCUCCGCUGCCUGCCUCUCCUCCUCGGUCUCCUCCUCUAGCUUCCCCCGUAGUCAUCCCGCCGCCGCCGCCGCCUCCUCCUCCUGCUGCCGCAGCGAGAGGGACCCUCCCCCUCCGCGUCCAGCCCAGACAAGCCUCGCCACGCCCCUCCGCCUUGCCGAGCUGCCUCCCGCCUGGAUCAAAACACGCGCGGCUCUGCUUGGAGACGCUCACGGCGGGCGGGCGGGCGGGGAGGCAGCGCGUCCGGAACUGUUGUCCCCGCCGCUGCUGCCACUGCUGCCGCCGCCGUGCACGGCCCCGAUUCUCCACCGGAAGCUGCCUCGGGGGUGUCACGUCUCCGUCCUACCGGAGGGUGGUAGGCUGUUUGUGCAAAAGGAAGGAGGCCGCGGAGGAUGCGAGCGAUGGGGUCGCCCCCCACCCGCUCUGCAAAGAUACAAAGUCAGAAGUAUAAAGUACAUGAAGAAAAAAGAAAGAAGCAAAAAGAAAAAUAGAAAAAAAUCCAACUUUCAGAAACAUUUUUACAUUACCAACCGGACUUCCCCACGUCUCCCUCACCCUGCGUUCCUUUCAAUAAACAUAUCAGCAAAUUAUUACCUUGUUUCAUACCUUACUUGUAUCUUUCAAAUAUUAUUCUUCUAAAUUUAAAGUACCUUUUGUCAAUAACUUGUACCUUAAAAUAAACAUAAUAUAACUUUAAAUUUCAACCUUUUCUUACGUUUUUAUCUUAAUUUCCUGCUCACCAAAUCUAAUUGCUGAAGCUAAGUAAUGCCAAUUUUUAAAACAGGGAUCUAGGAGAGAUCCUGGAAAUUAUAGGCUGGUUAGUUUAAUGUCUGUCCCCGGAAACCUUCUGGAAAGCAUUGUUAAAGAUAAAAUAACCAAGCACACAGAAGAACAAGACUACUGAAGUCGAGUCAGUAUGGCUUCUUCAAGGGAAAGGCCUGUCUCACAAACCUAUUGGAGAGCCAGUGGUGUAGUGGUUAAUCUGUAGUCUCGUAAUCUGGGGAACCGGGUUUGCACCUCCGCUCUUCCACAUGCAGCUGCUGGGUGACCUUGGGCCAGUCACACUUCUUUGAAGCCUCUUAGCCCCACGCACCUCACAGAGUGUUUGUUGUGGGGGAGGAAGGGAAAGGAGAAUGUUAGCCGCUUUGAGACUCCUUAAAAGGAGUGAAAGACGGGAUAUCAAAUCCAAACUCUUCUUCUUCUAUUGGAAUUCUUUCAGCGUCUCAACAAAUAGGUAUAUGUCAGGCAUGUACAACUUCCAAGAGACUGCGAUCUACUCCCACUAAAUAAAAACUGGCAGUGAUCUACCCACUGUAU
RNAcentral lists this long non-coding RNA (1350 nucleotides) under Podarcis muralis (Common wall lizard). Its description in RNAcentral is "lncRNA (ENSPMRG00000019301.1)". Lineage: Eukaryota; Metazoa; Chordata; Lepidosauria; Squamata; Lacertidae. The record is from RNAcentral.